UACGUAGGGGGCAAGCGUUGUCCGGAGUUACUGGGCGUAAAGGGCCCGCAGGCGGUCCUUCGCGUUCCCACUGACAAUCCGCCGCUUCACGGAGGAGGGGGUGGGAAAACGGGAGGACUUGAGGGCCAGAGAGGGACACGGAAUUCCGGGUGGAGUGGUGAAAUGCGUAGAUAUCCGGAGGAACACCAAAGGCGAAGGCAGUGUCCUGGCUGGCUCCUGACGCUCAGGGGCGAAAGCGAGGGGAGCGAACGGG
This 253-nucleotide ribosomal RNA is filed under the name uncultured prokaryote. RNAcentral's name for it is "partial 16S ribosomal RNA". It matches the Rfam family "Bacterial small subunit ribosomal RNA", at positions 524 to 776 of the family's 1533-position model. The record is from RNAcentral.